Molecule: long non-coding RNA, 3599 nt
Filed under: Solanum tuberosum (potato)
Lineage: Eukaryota; Viridiplantae; Streptophyta; Magnoliopsida; Solanales; Solanaceae
Description: long non-coding RNA (STUB_LNC008586)
Source: RNAcentral
CUGUGCUUGCUGUGUGUGUACCAUGUCCAUCAUCGUCUAUCGGGGAACCAUUGCCAAGUUGGUAAGACCUCGCUCCAAUGAGCUUGUUGUUACACUUGUUUGUGAAAUUGGACUCACAAACUCCUUUCCACUUAGCAGGCGGAGGUGGCAUCCCAAUGUCGCUAAAUGAAGGAUGGUCAGGAAGAAUUCCAGUGUCUAUAACUCCGAUGAUCACGCCUUUCCCAUAGUUGGAAUCCAUCCAUACACCAAUGUUCUGCUGCAAACCAAGAAAACUUGGAGUAUGAGUAGUAUCCAAGGACAAAAUCCUCUGUUUCUGAGCAGAGACAAAAGCCGUGUUUCUUCUCCAUUUCCUUCACUUGUGCUGCAGUUAAUCUUGCUGACAAAACCUUUCAUCACAUUGUGAUAGGAAUAGAUCAUGCUAGCAGCCUCUUCAUUUCCACUUGAGCUAAUCGCGGUAGUAGUUUUAGGCAAAAAAGAAAGGUAAUAGCUCUCUAAAUCGGUUAACGAUGAUUGAGUAGAAAUUAGGUUUUCAGGGGAUUCAACAUGGACUAUAUAAGUCUCGAAAUCACUCUGAAUAGUAGGCCAUGGGAAAGAACAAAAGAUGAAAACAAGAAGGAUUUUCAAGAAUCCCAUGGUAUAGUAAUAGUAUAUAAAAAUGUUAUGAUUGGAAAAUGAAUUUGAUGAAGUUUUGAGAUUAGAAGCUAUCUAUAUAGAUUUGAAAAUGAAUUUGAUGAACUAUACACAUUCAUUUUAUUUUGCUCCACUUGCAAAAUCAUAUUGAUGAACUCUGAGUGUGAUGUGUAUUGAUUGUUUUUAUGAAUAUCGAUGUUUAAGGAUUAUUUUCAUCUUACUUUAAAUUAUCAAUUUCGAUCGUUUCUUUAAUUUUGCGUUUAAUUGCUUGAUUGUAUCACAAUAAUUAAGUUCUAUUUAUUAUCUAAUGUAUUAGAAAAGAAUUAAGUAGGGCAUGAUCUAAUUCCCUAGAAUUAGGGCAAGUAUUUGCAGCUUAGACAGGGAUAUAUCUAGUUGUCGUGUUCAACCAACUAUCGUAAGAAAACAUUAAUUCCAUAGAAAUAUAGGUGACAGUCUAUUUUGAUUAGGUGAGUAGUAGUUCGGAAGAAUACCAUGAAUAUUAGUAACUCGAUUAAUUAGCAAUAAUUUAUAAUUUGAAUUAACAGGAAAUAGUUUGAGAACUCGAUAGAAUUGGUGAAUCAAACCAAAAAAAAAAUAUCAGUCUUAAUUAAUCAUUAAUCACCUAUAGUAAUAAGACGUUGACCCCUAUGAAAUGGGGUCAACGAAUUAAAUGGGAAAACCCUACCAAGGUUCUUGGUAGAUGUAUGUAUUUAAUGUCGGUGAAGAUAUAUUUUGUGUGGUGCUGGCAAAAUAACCCAUAUGUUGGUAACCCAAUCAUAUUUUAAUGGAUUGGGUGAAUGGUUUUUUUAUAUGGGUUUGGUUCAUACCUCUAUUCAACCCAUAGAAAUAUGCCUAUUUAUAGUAAGUAAAAUAUGAGAAAAUGUUUCCAAAUAAACUUAUUUUCUUCGAUCAAAAGAUCACAGCAAAGUUUAAAAUAUUUUGAAUAGCAAGGAAAAAUUAUAGUCAAAAAGAAAAUUAUUUGACUCCGCCAAAUAAAUUAUCGUCGGUUAAAAUAGGACGGAGGGAGUAACAACAUUCAACUACAAUCAAAAUGAGUACUUGUAGUUUCACUAGAAUAACACAAUUGCAAUUGGACUUCUCACAGAGUGCCUGUUAGAAGUCCACUUCAAGAAUCCCUCUAUAACCCCAGGGUUUGAGCUGUUGGUUGUCUUGGAAAAUGUCACUUGGUAUGUCAAUUUCUGAUUCAGCAUUGAGAAAUUUAGUUUGGAGGGUUUAACUUUCAUGACAACGCCUUUUGGUGAAGCUAUUUCCACCUUGUAAGAUGAUUUGGCGUCACCAACGUUGGUCACAGUUCUGGUGUAUGUUUGAGGAGUUGAUCCAAGUCUGAUGGAAAAUGAAGGAUAAUUUAGUUGUGCUUCAGGGAUACUUUUUACCUCCGAGCAUUUCACCUUGCGUUGUAACAGGUAACCUACCUCUCGACUUGUGUAUUUCAAACCACAUAAAUAAGGUACAUAGUCCUCGAAUGGUGUAUCAUAAAUCAGUCCUGGAUCAUUUGCCCUCGAUGGAUUAACAUGUCCUGCACCAAUUGCAAAGAUAUCAGCAGGAAUGAGCCUUUCGUCUAGUAUUGGACUAUUUGCAAGGUUUAAUGUGUCAGCGGUUGUCAUAAUUGCAGACUUAAUAGCAGCAGGAGACCAAUCAGGAUGUGCGCUCUUCAGCAGAGCUGCUACGCCACUAAGAUGAGGGCAAGCCAUUGAGGUGCCUGAUAUGAUAUUGAAUGUGGAUUUGGUGUUUUUGUUGUCAUCCACGAAGGUAGGCCAAGCAGCAAGGAUAUUAACACCAGGACCGAUUAUGUCAGGUUUCAAGAUGCCAGGACUAACUCUACUUGGUCCGCGAGAAGAAAAUGAAGCAACUGCAGGAGCAUUUUUAUCCCCAAUUAUCGUUCCUUGGAAUGUGAUUGUAGCAACAGGGUUCGAUGUUGAGUUCAUAUAGGCACGAAUUUUCGUUCCAUCUGCAGCUGAAACAUCCAUUGCUGGAAGAACAUGAGCAUCAGCUGAUUUAGUGACUCUGUCAUCUGGACUGUUGAUGAUAAUCAUGCCAACACCUCCAGCAUCCUUUACAGCUUGUCCUUGAUCAACCCCCGGAACGCCACCAUCUGCCAAACAUAAUACUAUCUUUCCUCUUACAGCAGUGUCAUUGAGUGACCCUGGUUUGCAAUAAGGGGUUUCAGAUUGAUCACUUAUAUUUUCUCCAGCAUCAAAUAGAGUGAAGAAUGUUGAGUUGGAAAUCUUUGGAUGAUAAGCAGAUUCUCCUUCAAAUUCCUCUCUAUUUCCUAGCUUAACAGUAGCUUUCAUCUUUCUAUCAAUAGUGCUGGCGCCUACAGUAAGAAUCCACGGGGCUGUGUUUUCUACCGAGCCUCUGAAUGGACCACUAUUGCCUGCAGAGCAACUUACAAGAAUACCUCUUUCUGUUGCACUAUACGCCCCGAGAGCAAUAUUAUCACUAUGGAAAGGAAGCCUACUACGUUCACCAAGAGACAGAGAAAGAAUAUCUACGCCAUCAGCUAUAGCUGCAUCCAUAGCGGCUAUGAUAUCAAUUUCAGCACAACCAUCAGAAUUGCAUACCUUAUAUAUGGCUAUAUGGGCAAGAGGGGCAACACCAACCGCUGUACCAUUAGCAUUCCCAAAUACAUUAGCACCUUUCACAAAGGCUCCGGCAGCUGUGCCUGCUAUGUGUGUACCAUGUCCUGUAUCGUCUAUCGGGGAACCAUUGCCAAGUUGGUAAGACCUCGCUCCAAUAAGCUUGUUGUUAUACUUGUUAGUGAAAUUAGACUCACAAACUCCAUUCCACUUAGCAGGCGGAGGAGGCAUCCCAACAUCGCUAAAUGAAGGAUGAUCAGGAAAAAUUCCAUUGUCUAUAUCUCCGAUGAUCACACCUUUCCCAUAGUUUGAAUCCUUCCAUACACCAAUGUUCUGUUGCAAACCAAGAAAACUUGGAGUAUGAGUAGUAUG